Molecule: ribosomal RNA, 497 nt
Filed under: uncultured bacterium
Lineage: Bacteria
Description: partial 16S ribosomal RNA
Rfam family: Bacterial small subunit ribosomal RNA
Source: RNAcentral
GAUGAACGCUGGCGGCGUGCCUAAUACAUGCAAGUCGAGCGAACGGACGAGAAGCUUGCUUCUCUGAUGUUAGCGGCGGACGGGUGAGUAACACGUGGAUAACCUACCUAUAAGACUGGGAUAACUUCGGGAAACCGUAGCUAAUACCGGAUAAUAUUUUGAACCGCAUGGUUCAAAAGUGAAAGACGGUCUUGCUGUCACUUAUAGAUGGAUCCGCGCUGCAUUAGCUAGUUGGUAAGGUAACGGCUUACCAAGGCAACGAUGCAUAGCCAACCUGAGAGGGUGAUCGGCCACACUGGAACUGAGACACGGUCCAGACUCCUACGGGAGGCAGCAGUAGGGAAUCUUCCGCAAUGGGCGAAAGCCUGACGGAGCAACGCCGCGUGAGUGAUGAAGGUCUUCGGAUCGUAAAACUCUGUUAUUAGGGAAGAACAUAUGUGUAAGUAACUGUGCACAUCUUGACGGUACCUAAUCAGAAAGCCACGGCUAACUACGUG